This 277-nucleotide long non-coding RNA is filed under the name Lupinus angustifolius (narrow-leaved blue lupine). Its description in RNAcentral is "long non-coding RNA (LANG_LNC002068)". Lineage: Eukaryota; Viridiplantae; Streptophyta; Magnoliopsida; Fabales; Fabaceae. The record is from RNAcentral.
CUACUUUUUAUUACCAUUUAUUUUUAAAAAAAUUUCUUUUAUUCAUAUGUCAAUAUGUUAUGGGCUUAGGACAAAGAAUGAGAUGUUAUUUGGGACAAAUGAUUCAUCUGUCAAAUAUUCCUCGUACGGUGGAAUUUCUCUUUACAACAUGAUACAAAACAUAAAAAUGGUUGCUUGGAUUUGAAGUUAAGAAUUUUUAUACAUGUGUUUCUUGCACCUCAUUGCAUGUGAAUAUGACCCUGAUAUGCAUAAAUUUCAUUGCAAGCGUCUACCAAAC